UCUCAUUCUUCUCGACUUAAUCACCCUGACAAUAUUGGGGGAGGAAUAUAAAUUUUGAAGUUCAUUAUGCAGUUUUCUCCAGACCCCAUCGUCUGCUCUCCUAGGCCCAAAUAUCCUCCCUUAGAGUGAGAGACCACGUUUUGAACCGAUGCAAGACAACUGGCAGAAUUAUUGUUUCGUAUAUUAUAAUCUUCAGGUUCUUAGAAAUCAGUCGUGAAGACAAAAUAUUUUGAACUGAGCAGUAGCAGGCAUUUUCGGAAUUUAGCCUCCCCCUAAUUCCGUCGUGAAUAAAUUUUGAUUUGUUAUUGUUGUUUCAUUGUUCCGUAAACCCGCGUACUAUAUAGUAACAGUAUCAGAACUUUAACCUGAUUUUCGACCACUUUCUAGGUCACUGACAAUUUACUCUGGCCGAUUAAACGCACGACGUCGCUUUCAUUGCUGUCGUAAACCACGUGCACUCUUAGCUUCGUGUUGUUGAUGUUGUGUCCGUGCUAUGAAUGCUUUCAUGGAAUAUUGUGACGUAUUCGAGUGUGGUGACCAAAGAACGUAGAAGGGAAAAUCAAGGUAAUGCAUCGUGGAGAUGUUCUUUGUAUGUCGACUGUUGAACGUUUGAAUACAGUCUCGCGAAUAAUGGUAUACGUUAUAAGUGUGCGCAUAGUGUGGACAAUGGAGUGCUGACAAGAAUAGGGGUUCUCUCUGCGUUUCUGAUAAUGUCAUCUCUGGUCGCGACGACGAUGGCGCCAUCAUUCUACUUCGUGUGUUUGGGAUUGUUUGACUAAGAUAUUUUGUUGUGACUUCUGCUUCUGUUUUGUAGCGUGAUUAUUAAUCUUUUCUGUAUUUGUUAAGAAAUAAUUGGCUAAGAGCUUAAUAUUUUUUAUUACAUUAUCAUUUAUCUUUAUUAAAGAGGUCAAUAUUUCUGUAGAAUAUUUCCCUGAUUUAUUUCUUUCAUGUUUUCCAGACUGCUUUUAUUUUGUUGGUCUGCUCGAGGCUGUUUAGUCUGGUUGUCACAUUUAAUCUGAUUUAGACCUCGAGCAAGUAAGUAUGUUAUAAUAUUUCUUGCAGUGAAUUUUCAUUACUUGGUUGUUGCACUAUUGACAAAUUAGGUAAUCUUUUUUUAUCUUUGUGAUCCAAUCAUUCUUUUCAGAUAUUUUAUCACUGUUUUGAUGGUGAAACUUGCUUAUACAUUUUUAAGAGAUUAUUUAGGAAUAUGUUGAAUUUUUAAUCUACAUCAAGGCUGUUUAAUACUGAGUGCACAUUUUCAUUGGAUGUGUUAUACAUUCUUUAAUAGUGUCUUCAUUUCUGAGUCUGAUUGAUAUUCUAUACUUACGAUAACUGGAGAUCGACUUUUUUAUUAUUAAUAUUACUAGAAGUUGUACAUCGUGAUCAGAUGGAGUAAUUUUGAAUUUUUAUGGGGAAAUUAACUAUUGCCAUGACAUUGAAAGAUGCUAGUCGGGCAUUUUACACAUUUUUAUGCAAUGGAAGCUGGUCCUUCUUCAAAGAGGUUGAGGCAGGAGGAAAUGGCUGCAUGUGCCAGCAGCACGUCUGAAG
Molecule: non-coding RNA, 1548 nt
Organism: Zootermopsis nevadensis
Lineage: Eukaryota; Metazoa; Arthropoda; Insecta; Blattodea; Termopsidae
Source: RefSeq, a predicted model, not a curated record